Molecule: ribosomal RNA, 254 nt
Filed under: uncultured bacterium
Lineage: Bacteria
Description: partial 16S ribosomal RNA
Rfam family: Bacterial small subunit ribosomal RNA
Source: RNAcentral
CACGUAGGGAGCAAGCGUUGUCCGGAUUUAUUGGGCGUAAAGAGCUCGUAGGCUGUUCGAUAAGUCGGGUGUGAAACCUCCAGGCUCAACCUGGAGACGCCACCCGAUACUGUCAUGACUAGAGUCCGGUAGGGGAGCGUGGAAUUCCUGGUGUAGCGGUGAAAUGCGUAGAUAUCGGGAGGAACACCUGUGGCGAAGGCGGCCACCUGGUUGGAUACUGACGCUGAGACGCGAAAGCGUGGGGAGCAAACAGG